RNAcentral lists this long non-coding RNA (3311 nucleotides) under Gallus gallus (chicken). Lineage: Eukaryota; Metazoa; Chordata; Aves; Galliformes; Phasianidae. The record is from RNAcentral.
GGCGGGGCAGGGCGGAGCGGGGCGGGCGGCCGGGGAGCUGUCCGCCGGGAAGCGGGAGCCGCACUCCGGCCGGUCGGCGUCGCGGGAUGGCGGGAGGGCGGCAGCGGCAGCGGCGGGCCAAGCGGCGGCAGAAACAGUUGCAGAGAGGGGCCUCGCGGAGGCCGCCUGACGACGGAGAACGCGUGUGGUUCAAGGGAAAAGAGAAGGUGUGGUGUUUGAACUGUGAUGAGACACACGUACUCGUUUGCUCCUGUGAUGGGAAGCUUUAUGAAUGCUGGACCACGGCUCCAGGCAAAACCUCUAAGCUAAGGCUGGUGAAAGAACUGGAAAACAACGAUAUUGUUCAAAUAGCCUGUGGAGACCAUCACUCCAUGGCGCUGUCCAGAGGAGGCAGUCUCUUUACCUGGGGCCAGAAUACCCAUGGACAGCUUGGAGUGGGGAGCCAAGACCUGCUCAUCUCCAAACCGCAGCUGGUGAAAGGCCUAAAGGGCAUCCCACUUGCUCAAAUUGCUGCUGGAGGAGCUCACAGCGUUGUUGUGUCACUCUCUGGAGCUGUAUACUCCUGGGGAAAGAACGAUUUUGGACAGCUGGGACUUGGACAUACAGAAGACAGGGACUGCCCAUCAUACGUUGAAGCAUUAGAACACUGGAAGGCUGUAUUUAUCUCAUGUGGGGAAGACCACACUGCAGUUCUCUCCAAGAAUGGCUUGGUGUUCACCUUUGGAGCAGGAGGGGCUGGCCAGCUUGGUCACAACUCCACCCGGAAUGAAUUUAGACCUCGCAUGGUGGCUGAACUGUGGGGAGCAAGAGUUUCACUGGUUGCCUGUGGAAGGCAGCACACCCUGGUCUAUGUCCCAUCUUUGGACAAAGUCUAUUCAUUUGGUUCUUAUGAAGGACAGCUGGGAAGUGAGAGAAAAGCUAAUCAGUUGAUACCACUGCCCAUCAAUUCACCAGUGGAUAAUGGGAAAUAUUGUCAGGAAAACACAUCACAAAAUGUGAUUGAAACUACUGCAGAAGGAAGGGAAAAUAUCGUUGACCUUCUCUUUAAGAAAAGGAAUUCCUACCCUGUGAAUGGAAUUGCCACUCUGGAGAGGAAAGAAGUGAAUGCAUGGGUUUCUAAUUCCUGUUCAGAACAUUGGAAGAUUAUAAAAAAGAAUAUCGGACUGAUCUUCUCAUCUGAGGCUUGCAUCAAUGGAAGUUUCUUGGAUAAAAGGGGCAAACAUUUCAAAACUUCCCAGGAAAUCUCAGGUGUAGACAUGGCAGAAGUGCUAAGCUUUUGUAAGAAGAUCAGCAAGAAUGUAGAAGUCUACCAGGAGGUGCACGAGGAGAUACAUAAUUUACUGCCAUCAUUGUCUUCUUCUCCUGUUUCACCUGAAAAUUUCAGAGUCUACUUGAUCUUGCCUUUCCUUCUGCAGCAAAAGGAUGUCAGAUCUUACAGUACCCUCAAGCUGCUAGCAGAAGCUAUCCUGAGGCUCCAGCAGAAGGACCUGCAAACUCUUGAAUGCCUGUGGUCAAAUCUAGAAAAAGUCUUUUUCAAGAAGCUGGUUUUUCUAUUUAAGAUGGCUUCCCUGUACUCUCUGAUGGAACGUCUCAUGUGCAAUUUCUCUGUGCAACACCCACAAGAAAUAGAGGCUCUGCAAAUACUGCAGAUUCUUUACCAGGUGAACUCCAGAGCUGGUUUCAGGCUACAAGACAACCAUUUCUAUAUACCUGAAAUGGGAGACCUUGUCCUUCGUUUUUGCACCAGUGGCAGAGAUCUGACAGUGCUGAUUAAAUAUCCCUGCAUUUUUGACAUGGAGGCCAAGCUGCUGAUUCAUUCUUUAGAAUGCAACAGACUGUUUUUCAGCAUUCCUCCAGGGUUACCAUACAUGUUCCAGAAACAGUGGACGUUUCCUGUCAGGAGAGAAUACCUUCUGCAUGACAUACGGGAUCAUUUACGAAACGCGACGAACAGCCAAUUCAGGCAUUUCUUAGACGUGUACUUCGAAGGCGAAGAAGGGGAAGGAGUCGGGCUGUGCCGGGAGCUCUUCGCCGUCGCCGCCAAGGAACUCUGCGAUCCCCAGAGCGAUGUCUUCCGCCACUUCCCCUCCAGGCUGAUCUGGUUCCCCACGCAGGUGUCAAGCCACGAUGACACGUUUCUCCUGGUUGGCACCUUCUUCGGAAUGGCCUUGUAUAACCAUUGCCAGACUCCCUUCCCCUUCCCCAGGGCUCUCUUCAAGAAGAUGCGGGAUGUCGAGCCGACCCUGGAGGACCUGGAGGAGCUGAUGCCAGCAGUCGGCAGGAAUCUUAAGAACAUUUUGAAGGAAGAAUCUGAGCAUAAGCUUGAAAGCCUACACAUGACCUUUGUGCAAAUGGAAGAAGGAGGUUCUGUGGUUGAGCUUAAAAAAAACGGUGCCAACAUUCUUGUCACAAAGCAUAACAGGAAGGAAUUUGUUGACUUGUAUGUGAAUUACACAUUGAAUGAAUCAGUACGGAAGCCAUUUGAAGACUUUAUGCGAGGUUUUUUAAGAGGCUGCCCAGUGGAAAGCUGGAAGAUAUUUCUCCCUGAUGAGCUCCAGGUUGUUCUCAUGGGACCCACAAAUUAUGACUGGCAUCUGCUAAAGAAGAAUGUGAAGUAUGUGUACUAUGAAGCGUCACAUCAAACCAUCAAGAAUUUUUGGACUGUGUUUUACAAGCUCCCAGAAGAAAAAAAGAAAAAGUUUCUUGCGUUUUUAACAGGAUCUGAUCGAGUCAUUCCCAAAGGACUUCAUUUUGUACUUUCUAUUGAAGACCCUCUGUGUGAAAAUCCAGAUAAUUCAUAUCCUUUUGCCCGUACCUGCAGCUGCACUCUCUUCCUCCCCAGGUACAGCAGUAAAGAAAUACUUGAGGAAAAAUUACUCUCUGUCAUAGAGUAUAGUGAAGGUUUUGGCUUGCGGUAGCUCUUGGUCAGGAGCAUGUUAAAGCACAAACAAGAAAACAAGUGGUUGUCUCACUUGUAAUGUUUUUCCUGAUUUAUUCUGGUGUAGUGAUUUCUAUUCUGCCUUAUUUUUACUGCACUUUAUAAAAACUCUUCAGUGGGUGUAUUCAACUGAGAAUGUUUACUGAUUAAAAGUCCUUGCGAGAGGCAACUUGGUAACCAAUUAUAUUUACAGAGAUGCUCAUCCUGCACUUUAGUAGUCUUAUUUAAUUGAUGAGCUUUCAACAGUAAGGCUUCUGUUAUUUGUACGUUACCAAACACACAGCCAGCACAUGCUAAGCAGUAAUCAUUGCAGGAGGGAGCUAGGGUAACAUUUUGAUCUGUAUUAGUUAAGGAUUCUUUUGGAGAAUAACCC